UCCAGACUCCUACGGGAGGCAGCAGUGGGGAAUAUUGCACAAUGGGGGAAACCCUGAUGCAGCGACGCCGCGUGAGUGAAGAAGUAUUUCGGUAUGUAAAGCUCUAUCAGCAGGGAAGAUAAUGACGGUACCUGACUAAGAAGCCCCGGCUAACUACGUGCCAGCAGCCGCGGUAAUACGUAGGGGGCAAGCGUUAUCCGGAUUUACUGGGUGUAAAGGGUGCGCAGGUGGCAGGGCAAGUCAGAUGUGAAAGCCCGGGGCUCAACCCCGGUAUUGCAUUUGAAACUGUCCGGCUAGAGUGCAGGAGAGGUAAGCGGAAUUCCUAGUGUAGCGGUGAAAUGCGUAGAUAUUAGGAGGAACACCAGUGGCGAAGGCGGCUUACUGGACUGUAACUGACGCUGAGGCACGAAAGCGUGGGGAGCAAACAGGAUUAGAUACCCCAGUA
This 445-nucleotide ribosomal RNA is filed under the name uncultured bacterium. RNAcentral describes it as "bacterial SSU rRNA". It matches the Rfam family "Bacterial small subunit ribosomal RNA", at positions 330 to 792 of the family's 1533-position model. The record is from RNAcentral.